This 492-nucleotide ribosomal RNA is filed under the name uncultured bacterium. Its description in RNAcentral is "partial 16S ribosomal RNA". It matches the Rfam family "Bacterial small subunit ribosomal RNA", at positions 29 to 507 of the family's 1533-position model. The record is from RNAcentral.
AGUGAACGCUGGCGGUAGGCCUAACACAUGCAAGUCGAACGGCAGCACAGUAAGAGCUUGCUCUUACGGGUGGCGAGUGGCGGACGGGUGAGGAAUACAUCGGAAUCUACUUUUUCGUGGGGGAUAACGUAGGGAAACUUACGCUAAUACCGCAUACGACCUACGGGUGAAAGCAUGGGAUCUUCGGACCUUGCGCGUUUGAAUGAGCCGAUGUCGGAUUAGCUAGUUGGCGGGGUAAAGGCCUACCAAGGCGACGAUCCGUAGCUGGUCUGAGAGGAUGAUCAGCCACACUGGAACUGAGACACGGUCCAGACUCCUACGGGAGGCAGCAGUGGGGAAUAUUGGACAAUGGGCGCAAGCCUGAUCCAGCCAUACCGCGUGGGUGAAGAAGGCCUUCGGGUUGUAAAGCCCUUUUGUUGGGAGAGAAAAGCAGCAGGUUAAUACCCCGCUGUUCUGACGGUACCCAAAGAAUAAGCACCGGCUAACUUCGUG